Molecule: ribosomal RNA, 406 nt
Filed under: uncultured bacterium
Lineage: Bacteria
Description: partial 16S ribosomal RNA
Rfam family: Bacterial small subunit ribosomal RNA
Source: RNAcentral
AUUGAACGCUGGCGGCAGGCCUAACACAUGCAAGUCGGGCGGGCGGAGGACGGGUGAGUAAGGUAUGGGGAUCUGCCUGAUGGAGGGGGAUAAGUAGUGGAAACGGUAGCUAAUACUGCAUACCAUCAGAUGAGCCCAUAUGGGAUUAGCUUGUUGGUGAGGUAACGGCUCACCUAGGCGACGAUCCCUAGCUGGUCUGCGAGGGUGAUCGGCCACACUGGGACGUGGACACGGCCCAGACUCCUACGGGAGGCAGCAGUGGGGAAUAUUCGACAAGGGGCGAAAGCCUGAUGCAGCCAUGCCGCGUGUAUGAAGAAGGCCUUCGGGUUGUAAAGUACUUUCGUUAGGGAGGCGUUACCGACAGAGAAAGCACCGGCUAACUCCGUGCCAGCCGCCGCGGUAAUAC